This is a long non-coding RNA of Pseudophryne corroboree (corroboree frog), 2212 nucleotides long. RefSeq lists it as uncharacterized. The record is from RefSeq and is a predicted model, not a curated record. The transcript is spliced from 2 exons. Lineage: Eukaryota; Metazoa; Chordata; Amphibia; Anura; Myobatrachidae.
GGUGGGUGGUGAGAGCUGAGUGGAGGUAAUCUUGAGAGGACCGUUGAGAGCUCGCUGAGGGGAUGGAGAGGGGUGCGCUGGUGCUGCACACUCAAUGCGGCAUUAAUAGCUGUGGUAAUCGCUCCAUACCUGCAUCUGAAGGCAAAGUUACGCUGAAUUACCCCGAACAGACUCUGAUGUGUCCCGCUUAGCUUGGAGAGCGAUUUCUGUGUGGAGAUCCAUAUCCGCACUCCAGAGAAGGUGGUGGCUCUGGCGCUGAUGAUGGGGCGGUAGCGGAUCCCUCCCUCUGAUUGCCUGCUGUAAGAUACUUCUACCGGGUACGCCUUCAGGGAAGUGGCUUUGAGGUGACUGACAUUCAUAGGCGGAGAAUCUGCCGGACAGUAUGUACUGUAAGUGUGUGAACACCCAGGGAAGUAUGGGAAGCAGCUGCAGGCAGUCCAUACAAGGCCAGAGGUGGGCUUACAUAGACAGUUAUACCGCUUUCACAUCGCUAACCCGGUAAGGAACCGGCUUUUGAACACACGUCCGACCCAGGUCUGAACAAGCUAUACCCCUUUCACAUUGUAUUUUGGAGCCGUGUUAUUACCGAGUUAUUCCCGAGUUGGUGCCUUUCACACUAAACCCGGUUCACCCAUUUAAAACAGUGUGAUAUCAUUUUAAAUGGACUUUUCUGUAUCACAUUGGUGAGGUUUCAAAGGAAAUAAAAGGAGGGCCUGGGGAGUGCUCUGAGUAGUACAGCAAUCAUGGCCGACAGAGCACAUGUCUCUUUAGACUUUGUGCUAGUCUCAGCUGUACUGCUGUUGGAUUCAGCCUGUGAGAGGAUAUUUGAGCUUCUCACAUUCUGUAGCUUGUUCAGCAGCUAUGUUAGGAGGAGACUGCAGUAUUUUAGAGAGACCGACAUUCUUCGUCGAAAAUACCUGCGCAGGAGGAGAUCGUUUAUAUCAGCUUCUGUGACCACCAACUUAACCUUAACCUCUCUAUACAACAAAGAUUGUGGGCUAGAGAAUGGCAGCAUGGGCAAGAUUUUAUGCAAAGUGUUCUUAACUUUCAGGAUGUUCAGUGGAAGUGUCACUUCAGAAUGUCGCAUCCACUUUUGGGAUUUAAUGACCCCAGCACUCUCUAGACAGACCACAAACUGCAGGUCACCAAUAGAGCCAAGCAGGCGGCUAGCUAUAGCAUUUCGGUGGUACGCCACUCCGUUGAAUAUCGCACAAUUUCUUGCCUCUUUGGUGUGGGGAUAUCUGUACUAUUUGCAACAUUGUACAUGAGGUGACCCGAGCAUUGGUGGACAACCUAUACCACAGAUUUAUUCCUCUGCAGCACGGCCAGCAUUUGGAUGAAACAAUUAAGGGAUUUGUGAAGUGUGGAUAUCUGCAGUGCACAGGCGCAAUCGAUGGUACCCACAUCCCUAUAAUCACACCUCAUGAAAAUCCUGCCGACAAUUACAACAGAGAGGGAUGGCAUUCCAUUGUUUUACAAGCUGUGGUGGAUCAUGUUCUGCCCAGUGUGGUUUUUAAUGCUUAUUGUUUAAAACCCAUUUUAAAAUCUAAUAUAUAUUUUUAUAUUAGCUUCACAGCUAUUCAUCGGUUGGCCAGGAUGGUCACUUGAUGCUCGAGUGCUUGCAAACUUGGAUCUGUACCACCUAGCCGAGGACAAGCAAGGGUGGCUACCUUUUUCCAAGAGAGAAAUCUAGAUUUGUGGACGGAGUGGAAAUCCCGGUACACAUAAUUGGUGAUGCAGCCUACCCAUUAUGACGAUGGCUCAUGAAGGGGUUCAACCAACAUGUCCAGCUGAGCCCAAAUCAAAUUACAUAUAUGCACACCCUGAGCUUGGCAAGAAUGGUGGUAGAAAAUGCCUUUGGACGAUUAAAAGGACGUUGGCGCUGUCUUAUGAAGCGCAAUGAUGUAGACAUUUCUAUCAUGCCUAACAUUGUUGCAGCAUGUUGUAUUCUGCAUAUCCUAUGUGAAUUUCAGAGGGAGUAAUUCCUACCAGAGUGGACAGUGCAGGACUCAGCUGCAUAAACUGCACUUGAUUCUGAGUCCUGUUUGGGUGACCAUUCUGGAAGUGCAGAACAAAUGAGGUCUGCUAUAAUGGCCAACCUUUCCUCAUUACUCCGUUAAGUUUUAUCAGUUUGUAUAUUCAGUUAAUUGUUGUUUCCACAAAAAAUAAACCUGUUUGAUGUUCAGCUACUGUGCUGAUUACAAACGUACAA